This 13795-nucleotide long non-coding RNA is filed under the name Sorghum bicolor (sorghum). Its description in RNAcentral is "long non-coding RNA (SBIC_LNC005252)". Lineage: Eukaryota; Viridiplantae; Streptophyta; Magnoliopsida; Poales; Poaceae. The record is from RNAcentral.
UAUCUAGAUCUACUCUAGUUUAGAGAAGAGAGGAGAGCUCUCAUCUCUAAACCCUAGCUUUUGCUCUGUCUAUGAAUAAUGAAUAAUGAUCAAGGGGUGCCUCCUCCAGGGGCCAGGGGGUCUGGUUUUAUAGUCCCCUCAAGUGAACCUGGGCCGUCGGAUCAAACCGACAUUGAUUGAAUGGUUAUUCUUGAUCCUUUAGGUCGGUGGAGCAUAAUCCGCGAGAUUGAGCGUGAUUGGCCGAAAAAGGUGGGCGGGCGCCCUAAGGACUUGGGCGGGCGCCCUGUCCCUGACUCCGUUCGGUCUCCGCUUCCUUCCCGUGGCUUCUGGAGUCUUCUAGAUGUAAGAUAAUUGCGCGGCACGUUGAUAUCUCUAUGUAAUCCCGACGUGUGGGCCUUUCUUCCUUUUUUCCUGAUAACCCCCUGCAGAAAUAGACAAACACCAAAACUCGUGGAAUUCUGUCAGAUAAAACCCUAAGUCUUGAUGUUGAUUUCAUUUGGAUCCUUUUCUUUGUUUAUUUGAUAGUUAAAUUUGAUACUUAAGGACCGUCAACAAACUCCCCCAAGCUUACCUCUUGCUCGUCCCUGAGCAAGGAUAGACUCAGCAAUGGAUCAGAAGUUGUUGCAAUAUCUUAAAAAUUUGACGGUACACAUGCUUUUUGAAUAAGUUCUCAUCUCUGAGUUAGAGUAAACUGUCAAGAACUAAAACUUACUUACUUUACCUUUCACCAUGGGACUUGUAACCGUCACUUCUGUCUUGAGUAGUUAAAAGAUAGAACAGUCUAGCCAAGUGCCAUGUCUCUUAUUCUUGAUCAGCUAUAGCUCUGGAGUUUUUGCAGAUUUUCAAAUAAAACUCAGAGAUUCCUUUGUAUGACUCUCUCAUAUCUCUCUUUUGUGGUAUUUCUGGAUCCUUACCAAGGAAAUGAUGGUAUAUGCCUUCUCUCAAAAUAUGUGGUAUUUGUGGUAUAAGGCAUAGUGACAUUGCCUUCUCUCUCACCCUACUUUAAUAAGGCUUUAAUAUCUGGAGCUCAUAGGUGGGAGAUAAGGUAUACAUACUUACAAGACAUUUAUUGUAUAGUCAAACCAUGGAUCCAAAGAAACAAAUCAAUAAGCCAAAUCAAGAUGUGCUUGUGUGGCGAAUGAAUGGUGUAUAGUGAUGAUGGUGAUAACAAUGGUGAAAGUCUAAUUCUACUUUUGCUCUUAUGAGGGGAUACAUACCUUCCUUGCUUUUUGAAACUUUAUGAGGAGAAUGAGAUGCUCUUCUUUUUCUUUCCUCUCAGGUGGGUAUCUUGUACCCCUAAUUCUACUGUCGGACACUUGUCCAUUUUUACCACUCGUCUCACUUUUUCUUUCUUUCGAGGUUCCGGGCACUUGCCCCUUUUUAUUUCCUCGUUUAUUAUUAUUUUUUUUUCUUUUCUUCUCUCUUCUUUUCUUCUUUUUUUUCAGAGCACUCAUCUCCUGAAAUAAUGUAGCAAGUGGUAGUAACCAAAAUAAUUGGAGCAUUUAUUUCACAGGGAAUAACAGGGAUAGGAAAAUGUUUUUGGCUAUUCUCUCCCGGAUUAGGAGUAGAAUGAUUUUGGGUGAAACUGGAGAUGGAAAUGGAUGGAUAUAUGUGGAUGGUACUUCCGAAGUAGAAGUAGCAUAUAUGAGUGAACGUGCAAGUGAAUCUUGAUUUAACCACAUGACAAGCUCUUAAGGGUCUACACAGCUUGACCACACUCAAUGCUCAUAAGCAGUAAAUAAAUAUGUGGCUCAAAGUCUAGCAAGCAUGUAUAUAUGGCUGUGGUAGGAAUUUAAACUUUCAUCAUACAGGAACUCAUCAUGCAAUAUUUUAAAGAUUUUCAAAGAUAAAAUUCUCCAGAAUUCUAGCAUCUCUAGGAAUAGAUAAACAGCAGCUCAACCUUCCCAUAUCAUAUCCGUUAACAACUUAGAUUUCAGAUCAAGUUUUCAUCCCACAAGUUUAGAUCUAGAGCAAGCUUUAAAUUAUAACAGUUAUGUCUAAACUUGAGAGAGAACUUCAAAUUUGCAAAUUAGGCAGAGCAACUAUUUAUCAUAUCCAUGCUAGAGUUUUAUUAUUAAGAUUCAGAUUAGCAUAGCCACUUUAUUUAUUUAUUAAACACACUAAGCAAAAGAUAUAUAUAUAAGCACAAAAUCUUUAUUUGGUUUUUCAUAGUUUAUGUAUUUUAAUAUUCUAAUAUAAGUAUAAAGAUAGGUAGAAAUACUUAGCGAGAUAAGUGGGGGUGCUCUCCCCCAAGCUGAAUUUUGACGUAAUUUCUCUUGAUGUAGCUAGCAGGUGGCAGAGGUGUAUUUGAAAGUCAGCAGCAUUCUGACAGCGAUUAGAAUGUCCUCCGUCUGCUAGUUUUCUUGAUUCUUAAAUUCUGUGGAGCUCAAAUAGACAACAAAGCUUGUGAAACUAAUUAAGUGUUAGCAUAAAUAUCUAGGCCUUGUUUACUUCCCAGAAAAUUUUGCAAAAUUUUUCACAUUCCCCGUCACAUCGAAUCUUUAGACGCAUGCAUGGAGCAUUAAAUAUAGACGAAAAUAAAAACUAAUUGCACAGUUUGGUCGAAAUUGACGAGACGAAUCUUUUGAGCCUACUUAGUCCAUGAUUGGACAAUAUUUGUCAAAUACAAACGAAAAUGCUACAGUGUCCAUUUCCCAAAAUUUUUCGGAACUAAACAAGGCCCUAGCCUUCAUCACGUUGAGCUUCCUCAAUAAAUAUUACUCCCUGUUUUUAUAUUUUUAUUUUAUAAAGUAGAAAAGAAAUAUUUAUUUUAUUUUUAUGCCACCACAGUGAAGGUACUUAUGGGUUUUACGCCACUCGUAUACUCACAUGGGGCUUAGUAUUUUUUAACAUUUUUAUUUUCUUUUCAAGAUAGCAUGAUUAACUAAUAAUCUAUUUAAGGAAAGUAAAUAAUUAAAGGGAAAAGGGAAUGCAGAAAGGAUAAAUAUGGAUAACUACCAAUCUUACCUUUCGGCCAGGGUUCAAUGUUUUAAGUCUUCUUGACAAGACUUCUCACCGUGUUCAUUCUUCAGGUGCGUCAUUUGAUUCAGGUGCGGACCUUGACGUCUGCACCUUUUAAUACGGUGUCACCUAUGUUCUUUGUUUGCCCAGCUGUUCGAAGUGCGGUGUUAGCAGUAUCUUGCUCAGUGUGUUUGUGCUCGUAGUGUAUCUGCUCAUAGAGACAAGGCAGAGAUCAAGUGCAUGGGCCCUGUUGGUGGAAAACACCAACAGAACCAAAAGUGUAUUUGUUCUUCUCUAACCUUAAGCAUAGUGAGCAAGACAAGUUGAUGGAUGAUAAGUUCAUGAGUAUAGCACUUAUAACAAUUGUCAGAUCAGAUCACUCAACCUUAUGGAAAGAUAAUCUAUCUAUGUAUAUGUCUUUUUCUUUAUAUCUCUCAAUGAUUGAAUGUGUAACAUUUUAGCUCAUAUGAUUAGGAGUGUGGGAUCAUGGAGGUAGUACUAAGAACAAGGAUUAAAGGACUAAACAUGUUGAAUCAGUUGGGUUGGUUAAUCUAGAGUUGUAAAUCAUACACGUUUGUCUCUUUUAUUUAUAUGAAUGCCAGAACCAAGGAGAAGCUUAUAAAAGUGAUAGUCAAGUACCUUAAGAUGUUACCUUGCUCGAAGAGUGAUGGUACAGUAUCAUCUUGUGGAAGCUUUCCUUUCUUAGCGGUUGUGCGUCUUGUUUAUGUACUUUGUCUCCUUCCAUGGAUCAUCUCUGUAUGGUGAAUGAGCUAUGUCCUUCUUGUGCGAAUUGUUAAACUUCAUGUGUUGCUCUCUUCAUCUCUGAUGUGAGUUUAUCUCAGGACUUCCCAAAUUGAUAUUGAAAGUUUUUCUGCAGGGGUUAGUCCGACAAAAUAUACCAAUAUCUACUCAAGCAGUUUUUUAGUUCAAUAACCAAACUAGACGCCAUGUCUAAUCAGAUUAAGGAAGGCUAUUUAACCUAAGCACCAUGCUUAAUUUAAAUGCCAAUGGAAGUAUGGCGAGUACUUCCAAACCAACACUUGCUAGUAAAUAGACAAAGGUAGCAUGACAGCGUUUAUAGAGAUCUACUCAAGUGGAGAUGAAGUAGUGUGAUUAGUAUUUAACAAAUUGAGCAUGUCUCAAAGGUAGGGACAACCAGCAUAGCAACAUGGCAAAGGAUGUUUUUAUGUAAAGUACUCCCCCAAGCUUGAAUUUUGCAAAAUUCAAGUUUGGAUGAAUUUAAUUCAAUGUUGUAUGAUGAUUGGUUGGACAUACCUUGUGCUUGUCAUUCAUCCGAUCUUCUUGCUCCAAUCUUAGAAAGGUUAGUGACAAGAAUACCCGAAGGAAUAUUUUUUUUUACAAUUAUCCUUAUAUGCUUAAUACACAAGGUAAUGUUGCAAAUAAUUAAAGGCUCAUGUUACGAUCUGAUCAAUGCUUAUUUUAAGACACUAAGCUUGUCCUUGGGAAACCAUCAGUUUAUGUUGGCGAAGUGGUUUCCCCUCCGACGCCAACCUAUUUCUAGAUCAACUCAACGAGAUCUGCAAUAUUUAUUAUAGACAUAUGCAUCGACAACCGCCCUUUUAAAGUUUUUAUAAAUAGAAAGGAAGAGGGGGUUGGAGAUCUCAAGUGUGGUGAUGUCGGAGAGACCAAUAGAUUGGGAAGAUGUUGCAUAUGAGCAUGGAGUAAACAAAGUGGCUAUGAAAUAAAUUCCAUGCUCAUUAAUGUUAUCUUCGUCUCCAAUCUGAAUGUUCAGAGUUUCUCCUAGAUUGGUCUCACCUAUGUCCUCUUCUGUAGUUGGAUGAAUCUCAUCUUCAAAAGGAGUCAAGAACUCACCAUUUGAAAUUGAGCCAAAGUCAGAACCCAUUAAGGCUUCUUCCUUAUCCAUCCAUUCUACACAUUCUAGCCAUUUAGAACUUGUGAUCAAAAUAGGGGAGGUGUUAGAAUUUUCUAUAUGGCUUAGCUCUCCUUCACUUGAUAUGUCAUCCUCGACUUCUUCAUGAUAGGAACCAGGACAUUCUCUAAGAGAAACAUUAUUGCAAUGAUUUGAAUUAUCCCUGCUUGAAGGUCUCUUAUAAAACCAGAAGUCUAAACCAUCAGCAUCUAAAAGAUUUAAGGUCGGAAUUCCUUCCUCCCUUGGAGAAUUUUGGGGUAUUGAAGGUUUAGGAUCGAUAGCUAAAGUUCGGGAUUGAAGUGGUUGUGAUCUGGCUAUCGAAACUUCUUCUUCUUGUCUAGGAACUGGUUCUUUCUCUUUCUCAGGGAUAUAAAAGCUAGGAGACUUUCCGCUCAUUAAAUCAAUCAAAUUCCAAGCUUCACUAGCGGAUAGGUGGUGGAAGGAUCCUCCAGAGGCCGCAUGAAGGGUUUGCUUAUUUUCCCUACUAAGGCCCUCAAAAAAGUGAAUUAGAAGAACUUCUUCUGGAAUAGAAAGUUUUGGGCCAGUGAGAGUAAGGUUAAUAAAGCGGUCCCAUGAUUUGCCAAGAGAUUCUUCUUCCAGUUGUCUAAAAGAAAGAAUCUCACGCCGAAGUUCCACCACUUUGGAGAUUGGAAAACAUUUAGAAAGAAAACUACUAUAUAACUCCUUCCAAUCUCCAUGAACACUCCCUACUUUGAGUUUAUACCAAUGUCUAGCUUUUCCCGUUAAAGAGAACGGAAAGAGCUUCCAUUUAAGGGUCUCAUCGGACAUGCCUUCUAUGCGAAGGAGGUCACAGACUCGAUAAAACUCUCUUAGGUGUGUGUAUGGGUUUUCCUCACCUUCUCCUGAGAAAGGUUGUUUUUGAAUAAAUUCUAUGUAUUCGGGGUCUAUCUCAAAACUAGAUGCUAUGAUAGGCUUUGAAGAUUUUGGUGGUUCGAGAUGUGUGCCCAUAGGUCUAUGAAAUUCAUAGAUAGACAUGUUUGAAUUCAUAAUAGACCAGAGAUCAAGGAUUAGAUAAGAAGAAAGAAUAGCAGAGAUGAGGCAAAGGAUAAAAGGAAAAUAUUUUUAUUAUUAUUUUUUUUAUAAAAUGAUUAAACUAGUUCGUAGUCAACUCAGCAACCGUUUCCCCGGCAACGGCGCCAAAAAUGCUUGUUGACACUUGCUAACACCACUUGAAUACUAGGUUGUCAUCCCCAGCAUGGCACUAGAGUGUACUAUGGUAUUUAUACGCACACAGAUAAUCCGCAAGCGCACGGAUACCGUUGAAGCUUUUACCCGGUUAAAGAUUUUAUCGUAUCCACAGGGAAACGGGAGAACUGAUCUACGCUCUAACUUAACCAAGAUAAGUAAAUAGGUGUGAAUAGGAAAGAUGGUAGAAUCGAAUAAGAACAAUAUUAAAGGUAAGAUAACAGUGAGUGAUAAUAUGGGAAUAGAGAGUAGAGCAAUUCUAGUAUAUGGGCGAUGGUAGCAGAAUAGAGAGGAUAACUAUGGUUUCUCUACUUCAAAGGGGUAUGUCUAUGUCUGGGACGAACCGCGUGAUAAGAGUACACCACAAAGGAUGCUUAUCCAUAGGCCGAUAAACCCUACCCGUCCUGCUAACGAGAGGUGGACUACAGGGGACCAACGUAACUGUCACCUACGCGGCCUACCACACGAUCCAGCUAGCCAGGGGAUAUCCACAAGUAAUCUAGGUCUAAGCACCACGCUUACACCUAUACUACAACUCUAACCUAUAGGGUCCUAUAGAUUAGAAGUACUCAAAAGAGUUGUGAACCAGAACAUACAUGAUUAGUAAUUGCAUAAUGAAUUAGAAGUAGAUUACCAGAGUCAUCCCAUGAGCAAGCUUGAUUAGAGCUUGAUCAUGACGAAGUACAACCGGAGGAAGAACCGACAGGCCGGCCUCUCCUCUAAUCCUCCUUCGCUCUCCAUCUCGCUACUAUCUAGAUCUACUCUAGUUUAGAGAAGAGAGGAGAGCUCUCAUCUCUAAACCCUAGGUUUUGCUCUGUCUAUGAAUAAUGAAUAAUGAUCAAGGGGUGCCUCUUCUAGGGGCCAGGGGGUCUACUUUUAUAGUCCCCUCAAGUGAACCUGGGCCGUCGGAUCAAACCGACAUUGAUUGAACGGUUAUUCUUGAUCCUUUAGGUCGGUGGAGCAUAAUCCGCGAGAUUGAGCAUGAUUGGCCGAAAAAGGUGGGCGGGCGCCCUAAGGACUUGGGCGGGCGCCCUGUCCCUGACUCCGUUCGGUCUCCGCUUCCUUCCCGUGGCUUCUGGAGUCUUCUAGAUGUAAUAUAAUUGCGCGGCACGUUGAUAUCUCUAUGUAAUCCCGACGUGUGGGUCUUUCUUCCUUAUUUCCUGAUAAUCCCCUGCAGAAAUAGACAAACACCAAAACUCGUGGAAUUCUGUCAGAUAAAACCCUAAGUCUUGAUGUUGAUUUCAUUUGGAUCCUUUUCUUUGUUUAUUUGAUAGUUAAAUUUGAUACUUAAGGACCGUCAACAAACUCCCCCAAGCUUACCUCUUGCUCGUCCCUGAGCAAGGAUAGACUCAGCAAUGGAUCAGAAGUUGUUGCAAUAUCUUAAAAAUUUGACGGUAGACAUGCUUUUUAAAUAAGUUCUCAUCUCUGAGUUAGAGUAAACUGUCAAGAACUAAAACUUACUUACUUUACCUUUCACCAUGGGACUUGUAACCGUCACUUCUGUCUUGAGUAGUUAAAAGAUAGAACAGUCUAGCCAAGUGCCAUGUCUCUUAUUCUUGAUCACCUAUAGCUCUGGAGUUUUUGCAGAUUUUCAAAUAAAACUCAGAGAUUCCUUUGUAUGACUCUCUCAUAUCUCUCUUUUGUGGUAUUUCUGGAUCCUUACCAAGGCAGUGAUGGUAUAUGCCUUCUCUCAAAAUAUGUGGUAUUUGUGGUAUAAGGCAUAGUGACAUUGCCUUCUCUCUCACCCUACUCUAAUAAGGCUUUAAUAUCUGGAGCUCAUAGGUGGGAGAUAAGGUAUACAUACUUACAAGACAUUUAUUGUAUAGUCAAACCAUGGAUCCAAAGAAACAAAUCAAUAAGCCAAAUCAAGAUGUGCAUGUGUGGCGAAUGAAUGGUGUAUAGUGAUGAUGGUGAUAACAAUGGUGAAAGUCUAAUUCUACUUUUGCUCUUAUGAGGGGAUACAUACAUUUCCUUUCUUUUUGAAACUUUAUGAGGAGAAUGAGAUGCUCUUCUUUUUCUUUCCUCUCAGGUGGGUAUCUUGUACCCCUAAUUCUACUGUCGGACACUUGUCCAUUUUUACCACUCGUCUCACUUUUUCUUUCUUUCGAGGUUCCGGGCACUUGCCCCUUUUUAUUUCCUCGUUUAUUAUUAUUUUUUUCUUUUCUUCUCUCUUGUUUUCUUCUUUUUUUUUCAGAGCACUCAUCUCCUAAAAUAAUGUAGCAAGUGGUAGUAACCAAAAUAACUGGAGCAUUUAUUUCACAGGGAAUAACAGGGAUAGGAAAAUGUUUUUGGCUAUUCUCUCCCGGAUUAGGAGUAGAAUGAUUUUGGGUGAAACUGGAGAUGGAAAUGGAUGGAUAUAUGUGGAUGGUACUUCCGAAGUAGAAGUAGCAUAUAUGAGUGAACGUGCAAGUGAAUCUUGAUUUAACCACAAGACAAGCUCCUAAGGGUCUACACAGCUUGACCACACUCAAUGCUCAUAAGCAGUAAAUAAAUGUGUGGCUCAAAGUCUAGCAAGCAUGUAUAUAUGGCUGUGGUAGGAAUUUAAACUUUCAUCAUACAGGAACUCAUCAUGCAAUAUUUUAAAGAUUUUCAAAGAUAAAAUUCUCCAGAAUUCUAGCAUCUCUAGGAAUAGAUAAACAGCAGCUCAACCUUCCCAUAUCAUAUCUGUUAACAACUUAGAUUUCAGAUCAAGUUUUCAUCCCACAAGUUUAGAUCUAGAGCAAGCUUUAAAUUAUAACAGUUAUGUCUAAACUUGAGAGAGAACUUCAAAUUUGCAAAUUAGGCAGAGCAACUAUUUAUCAUAUCCAUGCUAGAGUUUUAUUAUUAAGAUUCAGAUUAGCAUAGCCACUUUAUUUAUUUAUUAAACACACUAAGCAAAAGAUAUAUAUAUAAGCACAAAAUCUUUAUUUGGUUUUCAUAGUUUAUGUAUUUUAAUAUUCUAAUAUAAGUAUAAAGAUAGGUAGAAAUACUUAGCGAGAUAAAUGGGGGUGCUCUCCCCCAAGCUGAAUUUUGACGUAAUUUCUCUUGAUGUAGCUAGCAGGUGGCAGAGGUGUAUUUGAAAGUCAGCAGCAUUCUGACAGCGAUUAGAAUGUCCUCCGUCUGCUAGUUUUCUUGAUUCUUAAAUUCUGUGGAGUUCAAAUAGACAACAAAGCUUGUGGAACUAAUUAAGUGUUAGCAUAAAUAUCUAGCCUUCAUCACGUUGAGCUUCCUCAAUAAAUAUUACUCCCUGUUUUUAUAUUUUUAUUUUAUAAAGUAGAAAAGAAAUAUUUAUUUUAUUUUUAUGCCACCACAGUGAAGGUACUUAUGGGUUUUAUGCCACUCGUAUACUCACAUGGGGCUUAGUAUUUUUUAACAUUUUUAUUUUCUUUUCAAGAUAGCAUGAUUAACUAAUAAUCUAUUUAAGGAAAGUAAAUAAUUAAAGGGAAAAGGGAAUGCAGAAAGGAUAAAUAUGGAUAACUACCAAUCUUACCUUUCGGCGAGGGUUCAAUGUUUUAAGUCUUCUUGACAAGACUUCUCACCGUGUUCAUUCUUCAGGUGCGUCAUUUGAUUCAGGUGCGGACCUUGACGUCUGCACCUUUUAAUACGGUGUCACCUAUGUUCUUCGUUUGCCCAGCAGUUCGAAGUGCGGUGUUAGCAGUAUCUUGCUCAGUGUGUUUGUGCUCGUAGUGUACCUGCUCAUAGAGACAAGGCAGAGAUCAAGUGCAUGGGCCCUGUUGGUGGAAAACACCAACAGAACCAAAAGUGUAUUUGUUCUUCUCUAACCUUAAGCAUAGUGAGCAAGACAAGUUGAUGGAUGAUAAGUUCAUGAGUAUAGCACUUAUAACAUUUGUCAGAUCAGAUCACUCAACCUUAUGGAAAGAUAAUCUAUCUAUGUAUAUGUCUUUUUCUUUAUAUCUCUCAAUGAUUGAAUGUGUAACAUUUUAGCUCAUAUGAUUAGGAGUGUGGGAUCAUGGAGGUAGUACUAAGAACAAGGAUUAAAGGACUAAACAUGUUGAAUCAGUUGGGUUGGUUAAUCUAGAGUUGUAAAUCAUACACGUUUGUCUCUUUUAUUUAUAUGAAUGCCAGAACCAAGGAGAAGCUUAUAAAAGUGAAAGUCAAGUACCUUAAGAUGUUACCUUGCUCGAAGAGUGAUGGUACAGUAUCAUCUUGUGGAAGCUUUCCUUUCUUAGCGGUUGUGCGUCUUGUUUAUGUACUUUGUCUCCUUCCAUGGAUCAUCUCUGUAUGGUGAAUGAGCUAUGUCCUUCUUGUGCAAAUUGUUAAACUUCAUGUGUUGCUCUCUUCAUCUCUGAUGUGAGUUUAUCUCAGGACUUCCCAAAUUGAUAUUGAAAGUUUUUCUGCAGGGGUUAGUCCGACAAAAUAUACCAAUAUCUACUCAAGUAGUUUUUUAGUUCAAUAACCAAACUAGACUCCAUGUCUAAUCAGAUUAAGGAAGGCUAUUUAACCUAAGCACCAUGCUUAAUUUAAAUGCCAAUGGAAGUAUGGCGAGUACUUCCAAACCAACACUUGCUAGUAAAUAGAUAAAGGUAGCAUGACAGCGUUUAUAGAGAUCUACUCAAGUGGAGAUGAAGUAGUGUGAUUAGUAUUUAACAAAUUGAGCAUGUCUCAAAGGUACGGACAACCAGCAUAGCAACAUGGCAAAGGAUGUUUUUAUGUAAAGUACUCCCCCAAGCUUGAAUUUUGCAAAAUUCAAGUUUGGAUGAAUUUAAUUCAAUGUUGUAUGAUGAUUGGUUGGACAUACCUUGUGCUUGUCAUUCAUCUGAUCUUCUUGCUCCAAUCUUAGAAAGGUUAGUGACAAGAAUACCCGAAGGAAUAUUUUUUUUACAAUUAUCCUUAUAUGCUUAAUACACAAGGUAAUGUUGCAAAUAAUUAAAGGCUCAUGUUACGAUCUGAUCAAUGCUUAUUUUAAGACACUAAGCUUGUCCUUGGGAAACCAUCAGUUUAUGUUGGCGAAGUGGUUUCCCCUCUGACACCAACCUAUAUCUAGAUCAACUCAACGAGAUCUGCAAUAUUUAUUAUAGACAUAUGCAUCGACAACCGCCCUUUUAAAGUUUUUAUAAAUAGAAAGGAAGAGGGGGUUGGAGAUCUCAAGUGUGGUGAUGUCGGAGAGACCAAUAGAUUGGGAAGAUGUUGCAUCUGAGCAUGGAGUAAGCAAAGUGGCUAUGAAAUAAAUUCCAUGCUCAUUAAUGUUAUCUUCGUCUCCAAUCUGAAUGUUCGGAGUUUCUCCUAGAUUGGUCUCACCUAUGUCCUCUUCUGUAGUUGGAUGAAUCUCAUCUUCAAAAGGAGUCAAGAACUCACCAUUUGAAAUUGAGCCAAAGUCAGAACCCAUUAAGGCUUCUUCCUUAUCCAUCCAUUCUACACAUUCUAGCCAUUUAGAACUUGUGAUCAAAAUAGGGGAGGUGUUAGAAUUUUCUAUAUGGCUUAGCUCUCCUUCACUUGAUAUGUCAUCCUUGACUUCUUCAUGAUAGGAACCAGGACAUUCUCUAAGAGAAACAUUAUUGCAAUGAUUUGAAUUAUCCCUGCUUGAAGGUCUCUUAUAGAACCAGAAGUCUAAACCAUCAGCAUCUAAAAGAUUUAAGGUCGGAAUUCCUUCCUCCCUUGGAGAAUUUUGGGGUAUUGAAGGUUUAGGAUCGAUAGCUAAAGUUUGGGAUUGAAGUGGUUGUGAUCUGGCUAUCGAAACUUCUUCUUCUUGUCUAGGAACUCGUUCUUUCUCUUUCUCAGGGAUAUAAAAGCUAGGAGACUUUCCGCUCAUUAAAUCAAUCAAAUUCCAAGCUUCACUAGCGGAUAGGUGGUGGAAGGAUCCUCCAGAGGCCACAUGAAGGGUUUGCUUAUUUUCCCUACUAAGGCCCUCAAAAAAGUGAAUUAGAAGAACUUCUUCUGGAAUAGAAAGUUUUGGGCCACUGAGAGUAAGGUUAAUAAAGCGGUCCCAUGAUUUGCCAAGAGAUUCUUCUUCCAGUUGUCUAAAAGAAAGAAUCUCACACCGAAGUUCCACCACUUUGGAGAUUGGAAAAUAUUUAGAAAGAAAACUACUAUAUAACUCCUUCCAAUCUCCAUGAACACUCCCUACUUUGAGUUUAUACCAAUGUCUAGCUUUUCCCGUUAAAGAGAACGGAAAGAGCUUCCAUUUAAGGGUCUCAUCGGACAUGCCUUCUAUGCGAAGGAGGUCACAGACUUGAUAAAACUCUCUUAGGUGUGUGUAUGGGUUUUCCUCACCUUCUCCUGAGAAAGGUUGUUUUUGAAUAAAUUCUAUGUAUUCGGGGUCUAUCUCAAAACUAGAUGCUAUGAUAGGCUUUGAAGAUUUUGGUGGUUCGAGAUGUGUGCCCAUAGGUCUAUGAAAUUCAUAGAUAGACAUGUUUGAAUUCAUAAUAGACCAGAGAUCAAGGAUUAGAUAAGAAGGAAAAUAUUUUUAUUAUUAUUUUUUUAUAAAAUGAUUAAACUAGUUCGUAGUCAACUCAGCAACCGUUUCCCCGGCAACGGUGCCAAAAAUGCUUGUUGACACUUGCUAACACCACUUGAAUACUAGGUUGUCAUCCCCAGCAUGGCACUAGAGUGUACUAUGGUAUUUAUACGCACACAGAUAAUCCGCAAGCACACGGAUACCGUUGAAGCUUUUACCCGGUUAAAGGUUUUAUCGUAUCCACAGGGAAACGGGAGAACUGAUCUACGCUCUAACUUAACCAAGAUAAGUAAAUAGGUGUGAAUAGGAAAGAUGGUAGAAUCGAAUAAGAACAAUAUUAAAGGUAAGAUAACCGUGAGUGAUAAUAUGGGAAUAGAGAGUAGAGCAAUUCUAGUAUAUGGGCGAUGGUAGCAGAAUAGAGAGGAUAACUAUGGUUUCUCUACUUCAAAGGGGUAUGUCUAUGUCUGGGACGAACCACGUGAUAAGAGUACACCACAAAGGAUGCUUAUCCAUAGGCAGAUAAACCCUACCCGUCCUGCUAACGAGAGGUGGACUACAGGGGACCAACGUAACUGUCACCUACGCGGCCUACCACAUGAUCCAGCUAGCCAGGGGAUAUCCACAAGUAAUCUAGGUCUAAGCACCACGCUUACACCUAUACUACAACUCUAACCUAUAGGGUCCUAUAGAUUAGAAGUACUCAAAAGAGUUGUGAACCAGAACAUACAUGAUUAGUAAUUGCAUAAUGAAUUAGAAGUAGAUUACCAGAGUCAUCCCAUGAGCAAGCUUGAUUAGAGCUUGAUCAUGACGAAGUACAACCGGAGGAAGAACCGACAGGCCGGCCUCUCCUCUAAUCCUCCUUCGCUCUCCAUCUCGCUACUAUCUAGAUCUACUCUAGUUUAGAGAAGAGAGGAGAGCUCUCAUCUCUAAACCCUAGCUUUUGCUCUGUCUAUGAAUAAUGAAUAAUGAUCAAGGGGUGCCUCCUCUAGGGGCCAGGUGGUCUGGUUUUAUAGUCCCCUCAAGUCAACCUGGGCCGUCAGAUCAAACCGACAUUGAUUGAACGGUUAUUCUUGAUCCUUUAGGUCGGUGGAGCAUAAUCCGCGAGAUUGAGCGUGAUUGGCCGAAAAAGGUGGGCGGGCGCCCUAAGGACUUGGGCGGGCGCCCUGUCCCUGACUCCGUUCGGUCUCCGCUUCCUUCCCGUGGCUUCUGGAGUCUUCUAGAUGUAAGAUAAUUGCGCGGCACGUUGAUAUCUCUAUGUAAUCCCGACGUGUGGGCCUUUCUUCCUUAUUUCCUGAUAACCCCCUGCAGAAAUAGACAAACACCAAAACUCAUGGAAUUCUGUC